Molecule: ribosomal RNA, 255 nt
Filed under: uncultured bacterium
Lineage: Bacteria
Description: partial small subunit ribosomal RNA
Rfam family: Bacterial small subunit ribosomal RNA
Source: RNAcentral
AGGACGAACGCUGGCGGCGUGCUUAACACAUGCAAGUCGAGCGGUAAGGGCCCUUCGGGGUACACGAGCGGCGAACGGGUGAGUAACACGUGGGUGACCUGCCCUCAGCUCUGGGAUAAGCCCGGGAAACUGGGUCUAAUACCGGAUAUGACCUCUCAUCACAUGAUGGGUGGUGGAAAGUUUUUCGGCUGGGGAUGGGCCCGCGGCCUAUCAGCUUGUUGGUGGGGUGAUGGCCUACCAAGGCGACGACGGGUA